AUACGUAGGUGGCAAGCGUUGUCCGGAAUUAUUGGGCGUAAAGCGCAUGUAGGCGGUUUGGUAAGUCGGUCGUGAAAAUGCGGUGCUUAACGCCGUAUGGCGAUUGAAACUGCUGAACUUGAGUGGAGGAGAGGAAAGGGGAACUCCCAGUGUAGCGGUGAAAUGCGUAGAUAUUGGGAAGAACACCGGUGGCGAAGGCGCCUUUCUGGACUGUGUCUGACGCUCAGAUGCGAAAGCCAGGGUAGCGAACGGGAUUAGAUACCCCGGUAGUCCUGGCCGUAAACGAUGGGUACUAGGUGUGGGAGGUAUCGACUCCUUCCGUGCCGGAGUUAACGCAAUAAGUACCCCGCCUGGGGAGUACGGCCGCAAGGCUUAAACUCAAAGGAAUUGACGGGG
RNAcentral lists this ribosomal RNA (396 nucleotides) under uncultured bacterium. RNAcentral describes it as "partial 16S ribosomal RNA". It matches the Rfam family "Bacterial small subunit ribosomal RNA", at positions 523 to 918 of the family's 1533-position model. The record is from RNAcentral.